RNAcentral lists this ribosomal RNA (468 nucleotides) under uncultured bacterium. Its description in RNAcentral is "partial 16S ribosomal RNA". It matches the Rfam family "Bacterial small subunit ribosomal RNA", at positions 28 to 507 of the family's 1533-position model. The record is from RNAcentral.
GACGAACGCUGGCGGCGCGCUUAACACAUGCAAGUCGAACGGAAAGGCCCUGCUUUUGUGGGGUGCUCGAGUGGCGAACGGGUGAGUAACACGUGAGUAACCUGCCCUUGACUUUGGGAUAACUUCAGGAAACUGGGGCUAAUACCGGAUAGGAGCUCCUGCUGCAUGGUGGGGGUUGGAAAGUUUCGGCGGUUGGGGCUGGACUCGCGGCUUAUCAGCUUGUUGGUGGGGUAGUGGCUUACCAAGGCUUUGACGGGUAGCCUGCCUGGGAGGGUGACCGGGCACAUUGGGACUGAGAUACGGAGCAGACUGCUACGGGAGGCAGCAGGGGGGAAUCUUGCACAAUGGGCGGAAGUCUGAUGCAGAAACGCCGCGUGCGGGAUGACGGCUUUCGGGUUGUAAACCGCUUUCGCCUGUGACGAAGCGUGAGUGACGGUAAUGGGUAAAGAAGCACCGGCUAACUACGUG